Molecule: ribosomal RNA, 612 nt
Filed under: uncultured Gammaproteobacteria bacterium
Lineage: Bacteria; Pseudomonadati; Pseudomonadota; Gammaproteobacteria
Description: bacterial SSU rRNA
Rfam family: Bacterial small subunit ribosomal RNA
Source: RNAcentral
ACGUUGGCGGCAGGCCUAAUACAUGCAAGUCGAGCGGUAACAGAUCGCUGUGAUCCCUUCGGGGUGAACUUGAUGCUGACGAGCGGCGGACGGGUGAGUAACGCGUAGGAAUCUACCCAGUAGCGGGGGAUAGCCCGGGGAAACUCGGAUUAAUACCGCAUAGGCCCCACCGGGGAAAGGCGGGGAUCUCUUCGGAGACCUGUCACUAUUGGAGGAGCCUGCGUUGGAUUAGCUAGUUGGUGGGGUAAAGGCCCACCAAGGCGACGAUCCAUAGCUGGUCUGAGAGGACGAUCAGCCACACUGGAACUGAGACACGGUCCAGACUCCUACGGGAGGCAGCAGUAGGGAACAUUGCACAAUGGGGGAAACCCUGAUGCAGCCAUGCCGCGUGUGUGAAGAAGGCCUUAGGGUUGUAAAGCACUUUCAGUAAGGAAGAAAAAGCAGGGCUAAUACCCCUGUCUUAUGACAUUACUUACAGAAGAAGCACCGGCUAACUCCGUGCCAGCAGCCGCGGUAAUACGGAGGGUGCGAACGUUAAUCGGAAUUACUGGGCGUAAAGCGCGCGUAGGCGGUUUAUUAAGUGGGAUGUGAAAGCCCCGGGCUCAACCUGGG